UACGUAGGGUGCAGGCGUUAAUCGGAAUUACUGGGCGUAAAGCGCACGUAGGCGGAUUGUUAAGUCGGGGGUGAAAUCCUGGAGCUCAACUCCAGAACUGCCUUCGAUACUGGCGAUCUCGAGUUCGGGAGAGGUGAGUGGAACUGCGAGUGUAGAGGUGAAAUUCGUAGAUAUUCGCAAGAACACCAGUGGCGAAGGCGGCUCACUGGCCCGAUACUGACGCUGAGGUGCGAAAGCGUGGGGAGCAAACAGG
Molecule: ribosomal RNA, 253 nt
Filed under: uncultured bacterium
Lineage: Bacteria
Description: partial 16S ribosomal RNA
Rfam family: Bacterial small subunit ribosomal RNA
Source: RNAcentral